CUCAUAGAGCACAGACCCAGGAAGUACUUCUAGUGGUCAUCUGAGUGACUGCCACUACUGGUGUUCCUAUGCAGUAAUGUAAACACUUCAUAUUCUCUAAAUAGACAGUGUUAACAUAAAAAAUCCUGCAGGGACAUUAAAGGGUCACUGUAGGCACCCAACCACUCCAGCUCAUUGAAGUGGUCUGGGUGCAAUGUCCCAUGUCCUUUAACCCUGCAAUAGUAAUUAUUGCAGUUUCUGAGAAACUGCAACAAUUACCUUGCAGGGUUAACUCCUCUUCUAGUGGCUGUCUGGCAGACAGCCACUAGUGGGACUAUAGGAAUUGAAACUGACCUUUGGUCUGUUACCUGAUGCUGGACGUCCUCACGCUCUGUAUGAGGACCUCCAGUGUCAGAUUUUCCCUAUAGAAAAGCAUUCAAUAGUGCUUUCCUAUGGGGGAAUCCUAAUGUGAGUGCAGGAAUUGCCGCGCAUGCGCAUUAGGAGCAUGGGAAGAGCUUGACCCAGCACCGAG
This is a non-coding RNA of Pelobates cultripes (western spadefoot toad), 511 nucleotides long. The record is from the annotation of a GenBank genome assembly. NCBI's taxonomy places the organism in Eukaryota, Metazoa, Chordata, Amphibia, Anura, Pelobatidae.